CACAAUAAAAUAUGAAGGCUGUACGCGGCUGUGCUCUCGGGCCAGUUUUGCGGAGGCUGAAUUAUUUAUUACCCUUGUCUUUUGCGCACUUGUUGUUUCCUCGGCGGGUCGCCCGCCCCAUUGGACAAUUAUAAACCAUUUAUGCAGUUGCAAUCAGCGUCAGUAAACAAAUGUAAAUAUUUA
This 183-nucleotide unclassified non-coding RNA is filed under the name soil metagenome. Its description in RNAcentral is "partial internal transcribed spacer 1". The record is from RNAcentral.